RNAcentral lists this long non-coding RNA (1142 nucleotides) under Homo sapiens (human). RNAcentral's name for it is "HSALNT0359167". The record is from RNAcentral. Lineage: Eukaryota; Metazoa; Chordata; Mammalia; Primates; Hominidae.
GAAAGAGUUAUUAUCAAUAGAAAGGAAUGUUUGGAGACAUCCAAUAGAAAUUCAAUAGACAAUCAUUAGAAAGGAAUGUCUGGGUCGUGGAGACCAAGGUUUUAUUAUGCAGAUGAAGCCUCCAAGUAGCAGGCUUCAGAGAGAAUAGGUUGUAAAUGUUUCUUAAUACACUUAAAAAGAGCAUGUUCUGGCUGGGUGCAGUGGCUCAUGCCUGUAAUCCCAGCACUUUGGGAGGCCAAGGCAAGAGGAUUGCUUGAGCCCAGGGGCUCCAGACCAGAAUUGGCAACAAAGUGAGACCUACAAAAAAACAAAAAUAAAAUAAAAAUAAAGCAAAGUUUGACUGUUUAAAGGGUAAUUUAAGUAUGAGAAACUGGUGAUUGGAAAUCACUGCCAAAAAGGGAAGUCUUCCCAGAGCCUUGCUGCUCACAGUGUGGUCUGAAGCUGAGAUCCCCCGGGAGGUUGUAAGAAAGGUAACAUCCCAGCUUAUCUGAAUCCAGAUCUGCAUUUUAAAAAGAUCUCCAGAUGUUUGUGUCCAUAUGUACAUUAAAGGUUGAGAAGUCCGGCUCUGGAGAGUUCCUUCACUUGCUUUCUGAAGUGAUGGACUCCUUGGAUUGGGCCUGUUCUGACCAACCAACUGAGCACAGGUCUGCCAGUUCCUUCACGUAGUCAGUUGGAGCAUAACCAGCACAUGCUGGGGACAAGCUGCACAUGUGCAGACAAGAGUGGGGAAAUCCCCACUCUUACCACUUCAAGAAAGCCACUUUCUGAAAAUUUCAAGAUUCUACUCUAGUAAUAGCUUUGACUGGGAAGGAGAUGUGGUAUCUACCCUGGAGUCUGUGGGCAAGACAGGUGGUCAUGAUCUGGGUUAGGUGAGAGACUGUAACUAUGUUGAUUCUGGGGAUUUCCUAAGGACUAGCAGCACUAGCUUUAACUGCUUUAGUAAGCGAAAUCUUAUGUCUGCAAUCCGAGGUCAUGGGAAAUCUCUUUCUGGACCUGAGGGAAUCCUAUCUCCCUAAGGUCUUCUACUAGAUGCAGAUCCAGGUAGGACUGGCAUUCUACUCCCCAAGUUUCACCUGAACCUAGCUAUUCUGUUUUUUCUUCUUUUUCUUUUAUUCUUUUUUUUUUUUUUUUUUUUUUUUUUU